UCAUCGGCCUCAGAUUGGUAGG
RNAcentral lists this ribosomal RNA (22 nucleotides) under Pseudozyma sp. JCC207. RNAcentral's name for it is "partial 26S ribosomal RNA". The record is from RNAcentral. Lineage: Eukaryota; Fungi; Basidiomycota; Ustilaginomycetes; Ustilaginales; Ustilaginaceae.